Long non-coding RNA from Vicia villosa (hairy vetch), 2446 nucleotides. RefSeq lists it as uncharacterized. NCBI's taxonomy places the organism in Eukaryota, Viridiplantae, Streptophyta, Magnoliopsida, Fabales, Fabaceae. The transcript is spliced from 4 exons. The record is from RefSeq and is a predicted model, not a curated record.
AAACCCAAUUUCUUAAUAUUAUUCUGUCAACUCAUAUUUCUCGUUCUCACCCUCACGAUCGAACUCUGAGUUGCAAAUCACAUUCAACUUCAAGAAUUGAGAACUCUAACUUACCCUCGAUUUCACGAAAUCAAAAGUCACGAACCGAGUACUCAAACUUACCCCUCGCCAUCACAAUCUCAAACCUUGUCGAUUUCACCUCCGUCAAUUUCACCAUUGUCAAUUUCACCCUCACCUUUUCAUCCUUCACUCUUCUCUGCAAAUUGAGGGUUAGGGUUUCAACUAUGACUUUGAUUUUCAAAACCUUCUCGCGAAACCCUUAUUUGUUAGAACCAUUGACCUACUUUUCAAGAACCCCAGAUAUUGAUUAUCACCUCGCAUCAGAGGAAACUUUGAGGAUCCUUUGCCUUUUUACCCCACCCGAAGAGACAUCACUGAUAUACAUCAAUGAAAGAUAAGUUGUUUUUUCGAUCCUACAUUAAUUUUGAACAAAAUCCUGGUAAAUUAGAAGUUAUAAAUUCCUUCAUCAGUUUUGGAUAUUAUGUGAAUAUGGCAGGGUUAUUCACGAUUUAGGUUUGGCUUAUGCUCUUGAGGUCCUUGUCGAUAUUGUUUAUGAAUUUGUCUAUGAGCUUAUCUUCUUCUAUGGGUAAGCCAAAGGGAUUGUAACUCGUCGACAUUCUAUCCAUGACGACUAUGAUCCCGGUAACCAAACCCGUAUUUGUACGGGGUAGGGAGGAGAUUCAAUAAUACUGAGCCUUGUUGGGUCUGACAAAACAGGGGUUUAUGGGUCAGAUAAACCAUUAGGGCAGUCUUAGCAUCAAGUAGACUUAAUCUUCCUAGAGAAAACAGAAAUCCAGUACCGGGCAGGAUUCAAAGAUCAUGGUCAUAUCUAGAUCACAAUAGUUGUUACUCAGAUAAGUGUAUCCUUUCCUUUCUAAUGAUUUAUAAGUUUUUCGACUAAUUUGAGAAUUUAGUGUUAGUGUUUGUUACUGAGAUUGAUCUCAUUGUCUUAGAGUUACUUUCACAGUCAAGAUUCUUUACGGUAGAGUGACGUCCAAUGUUUUGAAAGAACGAAUUAGAAACGCGUCGCGAAAUUGGCUGGACCUCGGAAAUAAGCAGGAGAAACUAUAAAUAAUUAUUGAGAGACUUUUGUAGAAACUAAUGUAUUGAUAGGGACUUUGCAGGAUAUGAUGUUCAGCUGUGUCAAAGUAAUUUCGGCAUCUGCUCUUUCAGUAUCACCUUCAUUAAUAGCCUACCACACACAAAUGUGUCAAGAGUAAAGCAGCCCAAAUAUUUUUGCACGAUCCUUUGCACGACUAUAGAGGAUAUUGUAUCCUUUAUAUCAAUAUAAUAGGCAGAAGUGACAUGUUAGAUGUUGCAGGAAUUUCUAUUUGUGAACUCAAAAUGUAAGAGGUAUUCCCACAACCGUUUGAAGCCUUUGAAGCUCACAUGGACUGCCAUGUACAUAAAGCAGCACAAGAAGUUUUAUGAAUGUGAUGUGCAAGACAUUGCCCAAGAGGUUGUGAAGAAGAGGCGAUGUGCCACCAAGAAGCCAUACUCUAGGUCCAUGGUUGGUGCUACCCUAGAAGUCAUUCAGAAUAAAAGAGUUGAGAAGCCUGAAGUUCGAGAUACAGCCAGAGAAGCUGCUCUCCGGUGUGGUUCUUAUAUAUGCAGCUGGUUGUCAUUAAAGAUGCAUACAAAACUAAAGCAAGGCUGAGCGAGCUUCUUUAAUCAAACAUAUAAGUUUGUAUAUCUCUAAAAACUAGCUAUUUUAAUCACUAAUGUCAUAACUUAUUUUUCAUAAUGUAAAUUUUUAUUUUUGUAUUAAAGUGUCUUACUUUGAAAAGGCUAAAUUUUCUAUAAUUAUAGUGGGUGCGUUAUGAGGUCAAAAGCAACCAUGCACAUUUUAAGGAUGUAAAAUUUCAUUCUUUUUUGUUUGUAAAGUAGGCAUGGUUUCUUUUCUUUUGAUAAAAGCACUAGGCUUGUUUUCCAAACUCAAACUUGUGUAUAAUGAUAUUAUAGGCUUAGAAUAAGGCUAAUAGUAACAAAAAAAGGAAUGAGGAUAUUGGCUUACAGACAUAGUUAGACAAGCAGAUGAAUACAAAACAUAAGAGAAUAAGUAAGAACUUUGGGAGUGAUGACAAAUCCAGCCAAAAUAUGCAGUACAUCUGAGUAAGUUUGGAAGUAUGAAAAUGCUUGACAAAACCAACCUUAUUUAUGACCAGAGAUUGGAAUCACUUGCUAAUGGUAAACGUUCGUCUUAGUCUAGCUAUCGAAAUGCAGAUAAUGCAACUUCAAGAGGGACAAAUGAACUUUCUUAUGUAUUUUUGAGAUAAUGAUACUUAUUAUUAUAAUAUUAGGAUUUGAUAUGUUUUUCGGUUUUUUAUACUACAUGAUAUGAUUAUGGAAUUCGCAUUUUACAUGAUUAUGAAAUUCUUUUUUUUUU